AUCCGCGGGAGUGGGGUAGGAAUAGAGCCCUGAGGGACAGGGACUAUGGCGACGCGGGGGUGGGAGGUACAGAGAGGGGUGUCGAGCCUGGAGCAGGGCUAUGGCAGGGACACUCACUGGGGCAUGGGCAGCGACAGGCGAAGAAGGUUCAGGGCCAGGUGGACAGUCAUGUCUCAAUUCAGGAAAGAGAAGUGCAGGCAGGAUUGGGUGCGGGAGAGCCAGGCCCAUCACCAGCACCGAGUUAGGGGUCUGCAGAGCUGAUUGGAGGGUGGGUUUGGAGGGGCAAGGAAAACAGCAGCAGGCACUCCUGGAGUGGCCGCCUGUCCCCCUGCUCUCAGAGGGUACCUCCAGCUCAGAAGGACCCAGUCUGAGUCCAGGGUUUUCCGUGGAGAGGAUGGAGAAGCCUCAGUCCGCCAGCCCUCUCCCCAGUAGAAAUGCAGAAAGCUCACAGCUGGAAUUAGGGAGAGGAUGGGGAUACUAGUCAGUGAGCCAGCCUCCCCCGACCUAAGGCUAGAGGCCCAGAGAUUGUUUUCCCAUUGACUCUUCAUUUUCCACUGCCCAAGGAUGAACUCAAACACAGGAGAUAGGAGAUGAUUUGGAUGAAGUGAUAAAGAAAAGGCUUCACUCCAAGAAAAAAAAGAAAAAGAAAAGAAAAUGAAAAGACCUGCAGGAGCAAGAAGCCCUUUCCAGGGUGUGCUUAUGAGGAAGAAGGGAAUUAUGGUGAUAGCUACCACUUAAGCACUUACCUUGUUCCAGGUGCAAUAACGGUGUUUUACAGGCAUUAUUUUAUUUAGUCCCCCAAAAUAAAGCUAUUACGUACCUUUUUAUCAUUACCCCUAAUAAAACUAAUGAUUAGACUGUUUAAAAACCUACCUGGGUCAUACGGACAGUUACCAGUGGACCCAAGAUUCAAACCUUUGUAUUUCAGAGUCCAGAAUAUAUAUUUUUACCCCUACUUUGUAGGAUAAGAAAAUGCAGCCCAGUCAACCAGCCAAGGUCUACCAUUUGCUAUAGGUGUGUGGCCUUCGGCAAGUUAUCUAAUCUUUUCCUAUCUCAGCUCCUUCCUCUAAAAUAUCAGGAUAAUGGUAUCCACCUCUAUGGGUCGUGGGGAAGAAUAAACAGCAUGAUAUGCAUAAAGUCUCUUGCACAACCUAGCUGCUCAAUAAAUGGUAGCUUUUAUGCUUGUCUUAAAAAUAACAUUAAGUUAAUGUGAAAUAGUCAUUUUUGUAGGCCAAAAGUGGUCAUAUAAUAACAAUUUCAUAUGGUUCAACCUAAUAAUAAUCAGGCCCACCUCUAUGCCCCAAACUAGGUUUCUGCUUCUCUGACAGCCUGCCCUGGCUGAAAGUAGAAGGCGUGAGGGGAUUGAUGGUAUAGAUUGCAGAGGAAAGGCUAUGGAACGGAGAGGAAUUCAGCCUCUGAGCCCUUUUGUUGCAUUAACAUUACUUGCAGUAUUAGUGUGGGUCAGGAUGGGGAUGGUUACUAUGAAGUUAGAAGGACAUUUCUCCUUUGAUCUGGCUCACUGGCUUCUAGGAAUUUGCCUCCUUCUUUUUUUUUUUCUUUUCAUGAAGUCUUCCACUGCUUUGACUAUCUUUUUCUUCUAGGACACGAGAUGACCAAGGUUUCACAUAAUAAUGCUGUGGAGGAGUGGGAAGGUUGAGUGGAGGAAGGGAUAUCUGCCUCCAACCACGCUAGACCCGACCUGCUGUCACCGCCCGCCCCAGCUGGAUCCAGAAUGGAAACCUGGAAUAGCAGGCAAAGCCACCCCCGACACUCCAUGUUCCUCCCCAGAACCAGCUCCCUCUCCUACCAGCUGAAUUUUCAGGACAGAGCUGCCAGGUGGCCAGUCCACAGGUGGAAGUGGAAGGAGAUUGAAAGGACCUGGGAAGAGGUUCAUUGGUCAUGGUGCCUGGCUGGUGCUUUCCAAAGCCAAGGUUGCUGGUGUGUGCCUGACAGUUCCAUAGGAAGUAGGGACUUCUGGGAGGGAGGAGGAGGUGGAAGGUGCCCUGGUCAGCAAAGUGGGGUCCAAGCCUUCUAGUCCCAACUGGGCACAUCACUUCAUCUCUGAGAGUCUCAUUUUCUUCAGCCACAACUAAUGAACAAAGUCUCCUUCAGCUCCCAAAUCCGAAUAGCUUUAAGGAUAUCCCCUGCUUGCUGCUUGUUAUUAUGUCAGGCCCUGUGCUAAGCGCUUUGCAUAUAUUACCUCAUUUAAUCCCCAUUUUGGAAGUCAGGAAACAGCCUCUGAGACAUUUUGUAACUUAGCUAAGGUCACUCAGUUGACAAAUAGUGAAGUGAUGGGAUUCAGUAGCCUCUGCUGCUAGCCACUGCCUCAGGGCAGGUAAUUAUUUCUAUGAAUUCAGCAGGGCCAAGCCAACUAGACUAAGCAAAAGAAAUGAGGAUCCAAAAAAAUUCAUGCGCUUUUUCAUGCGCGGUGAAUGCAGGAAAAGUCAUAUAUAUAUAUGGCUAUGUAAAUCAGCAACUGCAAUAUUUGAAUCAGCAUGAAUAAAAAACCAUUCCUCUGUCUCUUAAAAAAAUAGGCAGAUCUGUUUUCUUCUUCCUCAUUUCUAUCUGAGCCUCUGUACCAAGGAGAAACGGGAAUAAGACAGGACUAGAUUCUUCCCAAACACCAGGUGAUGCGGUCAGUGAGGAGAGCUCCAGAAUCAAAAGAUGAAGAAGGACCUGCCUCUAGCCCCCAAGAGGUAUGCUGUUCUUCCCACACAUCUCAGCUCUCUCCCAGCACUGAGUCCAGCCCUCCACAGAAAGGGGAGGAAAAUGCCCACCCCUAGCCCUGCCCUUCCCCAACCCUCCACACAUCACUCCUUCUUCUUCCUGCCCUCCUGCACAGUCUGAUAAUGGUGCUCUCUCUUGCUCAGCCCUUUAGCCCUGCAGACCUAGGACAGGGCAUGACUUGGGAAGGCUCCUGUGCACAGGGUGCACUGGAGGAGGUGCCCCAGGCCCUGGGCCAUGGAGAUAAUUGUGUAUCUGCUUCUCUUUUACCUUUUGGGUGGGUAGCCUCUCCUUUUUUAAGGGACACUGACUUCAACCAUGUCUACUAAUCCCUCAGUAUGGCUCCCUGGGCACUCAAGAGCAACAGUUCCAGGCAGGGACCCCCACAUCCUACUCUAAUUACUACUGCAGACACAGAGGAGACCAAUUCCAUUCCUUCCCUGGCCUCUUGGAUUCUUUGUUUACUCACCUCUUUCCA
This 3202-nucleotide long non-coding RNA is filed under the name Homo sapiens (human). Its description in RNAcentral is "HSALNT0182727". Lineage: Eukaryota; Metazoa; Chordata; Mammalia; Primates; Hominidae. The record is from RNAcentral.